RNAcentral lists this ribosomal RNA (253 nucleotides) under uncultured bacterium. Its description in RNAcentral is "partial 16S ribosomal RNA". It matches the Rfam family "Bacterial small subunit ribosomal RNA", at positions 524 to 776 of the family's 1533-position model. The record is from RNAcentral.
UACGUAGGGGGCAAGCGUUGUCCGGAUUCAUUGGGCGUAGAGAGCGUGUAGGCGGCCAGGUAGGUCGGUUGUGAAAACUGGAGGCUCAACCUUCAGAGGUCGACCGAAACCAUCUGGCUAGAGUCCGGGAGAGGAGAGUGGAAUUCCUGGUGUAGCGGUGAAAUGCGUAGAUAUCGGGAGGAAUACCAGUGGCGAAGGCGGCUUCCUGGCCUGUUCUUGACGCUGAGGCGCGAAAGCUAGGGUAGCAAACGGG